This 291-nucleotide ribosomal RNA is filed under the name uncultured Chloroflexota bacterium. Its description in RNAcentral is "uncultured Chloroflexi bacterium partial 16S ribosomal RNA". It matches the Rfam family "Bacterial small subunit ribosomal RNA", at positions 1091 to 1397 of the family's 1533-position model. The record is from RNAcentral. Lineage: Bacteria; Bacillati; Chloroflexota.
CACGAGCGCACCCCUGUCGUUAGUUGAAAUGAUCUAACGAAACUGCCAUUUCAAAAUGGAGGAAGGCGGGGAUGACGUCAAGUCAGCACGGCCCUUACGCCUUGGGCGACACACACGCUACAAUGGUCAGGACAAAGAGUUGCCAACCCGCGAGGGGGAGCUAAUCUCGUCAAACCUGGCCUCAGUUCAGAUCGGAGGCUGAAACUCGCCUCCGUGAAGGUGGAGUUGCUAGUAACCGUAGGUCAGCACACUACGGUGAAUACGUUCCCGGGUCUUGCACACACCGCCCGU